Molecule: ribosomal RNA, 1445 nt
Filed under: uncultured organism
Description: SSU rRNA
Rfam family: Bacterial small subunit ribosomal RNA
Source: RNAcentral
ACGCUAGCUACAGGCUUAACACAUGCAAGUCCAGGGGCAUCAGGAAGAAAGCUUGCUUUCUUUGCUGGCGACCGGCGCACGGGUGAGUAACACGUAUCCAACCUGCCCUUUACUCGGGGAUAGCCUUUCGAAAGAAAGAUUAAUACCCGAUAGCAUAAUGAUUCCGCAUGGUUUCAUUAUUAAAGGAUUCCGGUAAAGGAUGGGGAUGCGUUCCAUUAGGUUGUUGGUGAGGUAACGGCCCACCAAGCCUUCGAUGGAUAGGGGUUCUGAGAGGAAGGUCCCCCACAUUGGAACUGAGACACGGUCCAAACUCCUACGGGAGGCAGCAGUGAGGAAUAUUGGUCAAUGGGCGCUAGCCUGAACCAGCCAAGUAGCGUGAAGGAUGAAGGCUCUAUGGGUCGUAAACUUCUUUUAUAUAAGAAUAAAGUGCAGUAUGUAUACUGUUUUGUAUGUAUUAUAUGAAUAAGGAUCGGCUAACUCCGUGCCAGCAGCCGCGGUAAUACGGAGGAUCCGAGCGUUAUCCGGAUUUAUUGGGUUUAAAGGGAGCGUAGGUGGACUGGUAAGUCAGUUGUGAGAGUUUGCGGCUCAACCGUAAAAUUGCAGUUGAUACUGUCAGUCUUGAGUACAGUAGAGGUGGGCGGAAUUCGUGGUGUAGCGGUGAAAUGCUUAGAUAUCACGAAGAACUCCGAUUGCGAAGGCAGCUCACUGGACUGCAACUGACACUGAUGCUCGAAAGUGUGGGUAUCAAACAGGAUUAGAUACCCUGGUAGUCCACACAGUAAACGAUGAAUACUCGCUGUUUGCGAUAUACAGUAAGCGGCCAAGCGAAAGCAUUAAGUAUUCCACCUGGGGAGUACGCCGGCAACGGUGAAACUCAAAGGAAUUGACGGGGGCCCGCACAAGCGGAGGAACAUGUGGUUUAAUUCGAUGAUACGCGAGGAACCUUACCCGGGCUUAAAUUGCAGUGGAAUGAUGUGGAAACAUGUCAGUGAGCAAUCACCGCUGUGAAGGUGCUGCAUGGUUGUCGUCAGCUCGUGCCGUGAGGUGUCGGCUUAAGUGCCAUAACGAGCGCAACCCUUAUCUUCAGUUACUAACAGGUCAUGCUGAGGACUCUGGAGAGACUGCCGUCGUAAGAUGUGAGGAAGGUGGGGAUGACGUCAAAUCAGCACGGCCCUUACGUCCGGGGCUACACACGUGUUACAAUGGGGGGUACAGAAGGCAGCUAGCGGGUGACCGUAUGCUAAUCCCAAAAGCCUCUCUCAGUUCGGAUCGAAGUCUGCAACCCGACUUCGUGAAGCUGGAUUCGCUAGUAAUCGCGCAUCAGCCACGGCGCGGUGAAUACGUUCCCGGGCCUUGUACACACCGCCCGUCAAGCCAUGGGAGCCGGGGGUACCUGAAGUACGUAACCGCAAGGAUCGUCCUAGGGUAAAACUGGUGACUGGGGC